This is an RNA transcript of Motacilla alba alba, 2856 nucleotides long. It is a transcript of the gene named glycerol-3-phosphate acyltransferase 2, mitochondrial-like, with no coding region annotated. NCBI's taxonomy places the organism in Eukaryota, Metazoa, Chordata, Aves, Passeriformes, Motacillidae. The transcript is spliced from 15 exons. The record is from RefSeq and is a predicted model, not a curated record.
GCCGGGCCGAGCGCGGGGCCUGCGGAUUUUUCCCAGGACCCUCGAGCAGCAGUGCUUCUUCUUCUGCCCAGUUUGGGGGUGACCCCCCAGCCAUGACGACCCCCAGGACCCAGGCAUGGAUCAGCCCCUCGGGCCUGAAGCUGGACGUGUUCGUCCCCUUCCUGGGCAAGUACCACCGGCCGGUUUCGGGGCGCUGCUGCCAGACCUGCACCCCCAGGAGCUGGGAUGGAUUCUACCCCGAGGACCUCGCGGCUCUCGGGUUCCGCGACGCCAGCCGGGUGACGGAGGCGGACACGCGGUUCCGGGGCUGGCUGGUCCGGAGGGUCUGUGGGUUCCUGGCAGCCUGGGAGUGGAAAAUCCCAGCGGAGAGCCCCGGGGAGCUCCUGGCGCGGGUCUGCAGCAGCAGGAGGUGGGUGGGAGCGGCUGGAGGGGCUGGAGGGGCUGGCCCCAGCCCUGGGGAUCCCUUGGGGACCCAGCGAGGCUCCCUGCGCCCCACCACGGGGCUGCCGGGUGCUCCCCUGCCCUGCUGUCCCCAGGGUGCAGGACGCUGCCUCUGGCCGGGAGCCUGGCUCCGGAGGGGACGAGGGAUCCCAGCGGCGCUGGAAGGAGGAGGUCUGCCAGAUCCUGGGGGAAAUCCAGGCCCCGCUCUCCCCUCUGCUGCUGAGGCUGUGCCACUGGCUGCUCCCCAAGCUCCUGACCCGCCUGUUCCUGGGCGUGCAGCUGCACCGGGGGCAGCUGGAGAUGGUGCUGCGAGCUGCCAGGACGGUAGGGAGCCCGCCCGGGCCCUCCCAGCCCCUGGCACGCCGGGAAUUCACCCCGGGAUCCCUUGCUUGCAGCCCGAGGUGCCGCUGGUGUUCCUGUGCAGCCACCAGUCCCCGCUGGACGGGCCCCUGCUGUCCUUCCUGCUGCUGUCCCAGGGCAUCGGGCUGCCCAGGGUGGCUGUGAGCCCCGCGGCCGGCCCCCGCCUGCGAUCCCUGCUCCAGCGCCUGGGAGGGAUUUUCCUGCCUUCAGGAAUGGCGCCGGCGCGGAGUGCCCGGGAUGAGGGGCUCCCUGGGGCUGUGCUGGACGCGGUAGGUGCAGUUCGGGCCGACAGAUCCCCCUGGAGCGCUCGCGAGGUGCUGGCAGCUCCCAGUACUCCCAGUCUCUCCCCAGUACGUCCAGGAGGUGCUGCGGAGCCGCCAGCCCCUGGUGCUGUUCCUGGAGGAGCCCUGGGCUGCCCUGCGGCUGGCGGAGCCCGCCCGGCGCUGGCUGCUGCGCCUGCUGCGGGCGCUGCGGGACGGCGCCGUGCCCGACGUGCUGCUGGUGCCCGUGGGCAUCACCUACGACCUGGCUCCCGGCAGAGCGGAGCGGGACGCAGCGCCCCCUCAGCCCCUCGGGGUCGGCUCGUGUCUCCGGGCGGCAUUCCAGGCCCUGCUCUGCCGGCGCCCUGGCUGUGCCCAGGUGGAUUUCUCUCAGCCCUUCUCCUUACGGGAAUUUUUGGACAACAACCUGGUCAGGCCAGUCCUGACGGGGAGCCAUCCCGAGCAGCUGCUGCUUCCCACCAUCCUGGGCAGGCGGUGAGGAGCCGAGCCCCCGGGGGCAGAGUUCCCCUUGGCUCUCUGCUCCCGGCUCUCUCCUCACCCCUCUCAUCCCGGCUCCAGCCCGCUGGAUGUGGGGACCGUGGGGACUUCGGGUCCCACUUUGGGGACAGAAGAGGAGAUUUUGGUGACGGCGCUGGGGCUGCACGCGCUGAGCGAUUCCAGAGCCUGCUGCGCCGUCACAGCCGUGGGAAUCACUGCAGCGCUGCUGCUCCACAGGCACCAGGAGGUGGGAGAAGGGUUCCGUCCCCCCUCCCCUCAGGGCAGCAUUCCCGGUGGGAUUCCCCCUCCCCUGAGGGCAGCAUUCCCGGUGGGAUUCCCCCUGCCCCGAGGGCAGCAUUCCCAGCAGGAUCCCGGUGCUCCGCAGGUGCUGCUGCUGCCCCGGCUGAUGUGGGAUUUCUGGGAGCUGCUGGAGCAGCUGCUGCUGCGGGGCCGGGCCGUGGGCUUCUCGGGGCAGCUGCGGGCGCUGGUGGGGCACAGCCUGCGCCUGCUGCAGCCCCCCCGGGGCCGCCCCGGCGCCGCGGCCCGGGCUCGGCUGGGCUGGCUGGCGGGGGGCGUCCGGCACCACCUGGCCGGGGAGGCCGUGGGCGCCUGUGCCAUCCGUGCCCUGCUGCUGGAGGUGCUGCCAAUCCUGGGGCCGCCCUCCAGCCUCACCAGGAUCGUGCUGAGCCGGGACGAGCUGCUCCACAAGAUCCUGGAGCUGCUGCAGCUGCUGCCCCCCACCCUGCUGGGGCUCCAGGUGGGGACACGGGGCUGGCCUGGCAUCCCCAGCCCUGCUGGGGCUCUGGGUGGGGACAGGGGUGUGGCCUGUCGCACAGGGCUGGCCUGUCACCCCUUUGCUGUGUCCCCAGCCCUGCCAGCCUCCCGACUGCCACAGCCUGGACAUCCUGGACAAGCUCAUCCUGGGGGGGCUGCUGGAGGAGGAGGAGGCCGAGGGUGAGCGCUGGGGCUGUGACGUGGCCCCGCGGCGCUGCUGGCGGGGACCUUCCUUGGGCUUCUUCACCGAUGACAGCGACAGCGACAGCGAGCACGGCGUCCCCAAGCAGUGCUACAAGCUCCGCGAGCCCCAGAGCUUCCCCGGCUUCCUCCUGUUCCUCUGCCGCCUGCUGAGCCCCGUGCUGCAGACCUACGGCCGCGCCGUGCAGUUCCUGCAGAGACCCCCCUGGCCCCAGCCCGAGGCAGACUGCGUGGAGGCACUGCUGGAAUUCCUGGCCGAGGAUGAGGAUGGGUAUCCCGACAGGAGCCUGGCCCUGAGCUCCCUGCAGAGUUUCAAGGACAU